CCUCAUUCCCUUCUCAUCUUUGCCCUAAUAAAACCUUUGGCAACACUCUUACCAGUAACCACCGUCUAUACGCAUCGCCACCGUCACCGCAACCACAUAUGGGUAAAGCUGCAAACAACGCCCCGAAAUCUUCACUAUCUAUUGUUGAUUGCUUUCAGCGGACUUGCUGGACUGGAAAUCGAUGCAAAUCUGAUGUGAAUAUGAUGAUAAUAUGAACAGAUCUCAGAUCUCCGGUUGAAUUUCUUCUCUCCGAUGAGAGUGAUGAAGGCAGUAGGCUUUUUGAUAGAAGCUUUCGGUUCAAUGAUAUCUCCCGAUGACAUGGCGUCCGCGUACUGCCAAGCGGGAUGAUCUAAAUAAAGCAAGUGAUAUGUCGCUAAGGCACCGACUGAAACUAUGAACAGUGAUAUCGAGAUGUUCUUGCUUCAGAUGCUUGGAGAUGGUUUUCAGUUAGAUAUCAAAGUAAUCAGAGAAGUUCUUGGUAAGAAUUUUAUUGUUUUCAUAUCCCCAAAUUAUUAGUAAUUGGGCUUAAUCUUUUGACCUUUGCAAUAAAUCCUUGUGGGCUCAUAAUGGGCUGCUUCAGAUGAAUAAAAAAGAAACUCAAGGCAGUUCCAGCUUUGCAGGGGAUCGCAUAACAAGUUAUAAGAAUAGCAUUCAAUAAUAGAAUUUUACACAUAAUUAAUUGUCUUUAUCUAUUAUUGUUUAUUGUUUGAACUUUGUUAGUGUGUGAAUUUGUGUUUUUAUAGUAGGGUUAAUAGUCUCAUGGACAUAUCCACAUUUUCUCUGUCGGAGACGAAGAGAGAAUAAAAUUGGUAGGCCCCGGCAAGUUGAAGUUUGGUUCCAAAACAGAAGAGCCAGGUAUAUAUAUUACUCCACGUUGCAAACAAAAUUAUGUAUGCCAUAAAUCUAGAAAAUUAUAAAUAUUUUGAUGAUUUGUAAUUUUAUAAAAAAAAAGAGUUUUAUAACAUAUGAUUUAAAUCAUGUACAAAAUAUCGAUCUUCUUUCUUAUCUUUCAAAUUUUCUAAAUAAAAAACACAAAGUUGUAGUUGUAGUGAAUUGAUGGUCAGCCACACAAUACUCUUCUUAUAUGAGGCAUGGCAAUGUCAAAA
Molecule: long non-coding RNA, 1106 nt
Filed under: Helianthus annuus (common sunflower)
Lineage: Eukaryota; Viridiplantae; Streptophyta; Magnoliopsida; Asterales; Asteraceae
Description: hypothetical non coding rna
Source: RNAcentral